Long non-coding RNA from Gopherus evgoodei (Goodes thornscrub tortoise), 3425 nucleotides. RefSeq lists it as uncharacterized. The record is from RefSeq and is a predicted model, not a curated record. The transcript has 2 exons. NCBI's taxonomy places the organism in Eukaryota, Metazoa, Chordata, Testudines, Testudinidae.
GAGGGGGUGAGGUUUGGGGGAAGAGGUGAGGCAGGAGAUUUGGGGAAGGGGUGGAGUGAGGGCAGGGCCUGGGGUAGAGUGGGGGUCGAGCACCCUCUGGGAACUGGGGAAGUCGACCCCUCAGCCCGUGUACCCAGCUCUGGCAGUGUAAGGAGAGCGUCUACAGAACCGUCACCCACUUCAAGCCGCACGCACUGCCGCCUUUUGCUUGUACGCUCAUUGGCACAGGGCCCAGCCCCCACGGUGAUGGGCACUCUGACUACAUAAGCAAACAGGACCGGCCAGGGCACAGGGAGAACACAGAGCCACAAGGAGGGAUUCGGAUCUCACACCCUAGUGUUCAGCGCAGUUACUCUCCAUCUACCAGCAUACGGGCCAUCAGAAUCAAGCCUACGGCCGCUAAGGCCCAACGCAGUCGCUCUGAUCGGUUAGUCUGAGCUCCUGUCUAACCCAGGCCAGAGCCAGCCACCCAGGAGUACCUGCCACAGAGGGAAUUAUUUAUAUUAGUACCCGGGAGCAUAUUAAAGCAGCAGCCAGACACCAGCUCCAGUCGAAAAAGCCUUUCUAACAGCCCCUGCGGCCACACUGCUCCUGACUCCAGCUGACCUUGCUCCGCUGAGGUCACAGCGGCCAGGUGCUCACGUGUGGCCGCAGCCGUACCAGGGUUAAGCUGGCUUCCGAUUACAAAGCAAGGGCACAAUGUCCUGGAGGGCUCUGGGAAUCUGGCAAUAGCCCUUUGGCCUUUCCCCAGGGCAACACCUGACCGUCCUCUUGUUUUAUUCCAAGCAAUUCAGUCCGUGGUUGCGCCACUGUGCGCUGGAGUCCAGCUAGGUUUCAGAGGCUGAGCAGGGGCAGGCUGGGUUGGAGGCCUCCACCCAGAUCCGCAGGAAGCAGCACUGGAGGAUUCAAUAGGUGGCGCUCUCCUUACGGGGUCAGAACAGGGCACUAGGGAGGGCUGCGUGGCAGGUGUAACACUCAAGCCCCCAUCACUAAAGAUCCCCUAGUGCUGGUUAUCUCCAAAAUCCCAGCCUGGGAAUUGCAAUGUUGCCUACCUAAUAUUCCUCCUGCAGUUACGGUACUCGGGCCCUCUCCUGAACGAUUAUAACAGCUGCUGCAGCCCUCCCCAGAGGUGGCCACAUUUGAGCACUAGUCAAACCGAGCCGUACAGGUCUGUAACAUUUACACUGCGCUCUGGGCUGCGGAGCACUGUAGGAGCAGUCAUGUCGUAGCCUGUUGUGCUUUUUAUAUUCUUUUGGUGAGGGAAAAGCAGUCCUAGUAGCCGGAACCCAUCCUCCAUCAGGAUCGUGCAUGGAGCCAUGAAAGGAGACAAAGCUGUUUACCCGAAGGGUCAAGUACAAGCAGCAGAUGUCCCAGGCAGAGAAGGCCUCUCACCGCACCAGGGAAGGGUGCCUUCACCUACCUACAAGAGGAACACCUGCCCUACAGCCCAGAAAAGCAGGCACUGAUCCCACAUGGGCAGCCCGGCCCCUCCAAUGCAAGCCGGAGGUGGGGUGGGCAUGAGAUGAGGCCUCAGCAGCAGGAAGGGCUCCCGCCGAUCAGAACCAGCCACACAGGCAUCCUGGCAGAGCUGAGAAGAGAGGACCCCUCUCACUCCAGAUCCCAUGUGACCGCACUGGGAAUCCUGGCGUUAGCUCAGGAUCAGACACAGCCUGGAUCAGACGAACGGAUAAGACAGUGCUCUGUGAGGCAGGGAUCACCUCUUUGAUGUGCCCGUACUGCACCGAGCACAGUGGACUGCUGGUCCGUGACUGGGGGUCCCAGCUGCUACCAUAAUACACCUAAUAAAUAACAUACAGCACCAUGGGAUCCUGGUCCAUGACUGCGCCUCCCAGCUGGUAUCAUAAUACACCUAAUAAAGGUCCCUUCUGGCCAGUAAUCUAUUAAACUGAUUUAGAGAAGAGAAACAGAAGGGAGGUGAGGGGGUGGGAGGCUGAUUUAUGAGGACAGCUUAAUGGAGGUGUGGGGUAAGGAAAGGAUGAGUUGGCAGUUAAGGCCCUGGACUAGGACUCUAUAGACCUGGAUUCAAUUCUCAGCUCUGACUCCCCAUGUUAGCGUGAGACCUCGUGCCUCAGUUUCCCUAUUUGUAAAAUGGGGAUAAUGCUAAAUCCCUGGGAGGAUCAAUACACAACCAUGGGCAAAGCAUUAAGCUACUUUGGGGACAGGGCUGGAUAAGAUGCGAGCCAGGCAGAACUAAGCUGUACCCUGUGGGCAGGGGAAGGGGCAGGGGGGACGACGAUAGCCUGCUGCAAGGAGGAAGAAUUGCUUGGGGAGUAACUAGGAGCGAGAGAGAGAAAUUUAAGCUGAAGCUCAGGAAUGGCUUCUUAACAAGCUCUCCCAUGAGGCAGACUCAUCCCCCAAGGCGCAGAAUCCCCAGUGCCCAAGACAUUUAAAACCAGAGUGGGGUAGAGAGGGGACAGGGAUCAAGCUGGCAGUGGAUAUAGGCAGAAAAUUGGCUGGGCUGGGGCAGGGAGGGCGACUGAGGAACUCGCCUUUGGAAUGGGGGGUUCUUUUAUUUCCCUUCUCUCCUUAUUGAAGCAGCCGGGCUGGCGAUGCUGCCUGACAACCCCGAGGAAUAACACGCUGCUCUGAACCUCCCGGGGGUGUUACUGACACUUAUCAGAGCCCUGCAGGCUGGCCAAGCCCCACUAGCAGGAGGCAGACACCAACUAACCUGUCUGAGACCCAGAACCGCCUGGGCCUUACAGCCCUGCCAAGGCUCCAGUCAGGGUUUCAGCGCAAAUGGCGCCUCUGGCUUUUGCAGUGGGAGUUUUACCCUGUCUGCAGUCUCAGCUAGAACCAACUGAAUGUCACCUGGUGCCUGACGCUCUCCAGGGCAGGGCAGUCGUACACUGGCACUGCCCCUGCUGUAGCUGGUCAGUGAGAAGGGGAUGUUAGGCUGCAGCAGAAUCCGGCCUCGUUCACCAGCUCCUCCCCUCCCUGCAAUGAGCCACACAGUGCAGACAGCAUCUGUCCUCUCAUUUUAUUAUCUUUCUAAACGGAUAAACAACAGGCACCAUUUCUGAGCUUAAAAUCCAUCCUGCUCCUUACAGAAUAAGUGAUCCCACCCACUGCAUGCCUCUGCUGGUGCACCCUGGUUUGUUUUUCGUAGGGUCUCCCAGGAGGGACGGGCUGUGCAAGCUGAUUUGUUUUCCGUAGGGUCUCCCAGGAGGGACGGGCUGUGCAGGCUGGUUUGUUUUCCGCAGGGUCUCCCAGGAGGGAUGGGCUGUGCAGGCUGGUUUGUUUUCCGUAGGGUCUCCCAGGAGGGACGGGCUGUGCAGGCUGGUUUGUUUUCCGCAGGGUCUCCCAGGAGGGACGGGCUGUGCAGGCUGGUUUGUUUUCCGCAGGGUCUCCCAGGAGGGACGGGCUCUGCAGGCUGGUUUGUUCUGGUAGGACCGCCGCAGGCA